This 497-nucleotide ribosomal RNA is filed under the name uncultured bacterium. Its description in RNAcentral is "partial 16S ribosomal RNA". It matches the Rfam family "Bacterial small subunit ribosomal RNA", at positions 28 to 507 of the family's 1533-position model. The record is from RNAcentral.
GAUGAACGCUGGCGGCGUGCCUAAUACAUGCAAGUCGAGCGAACAGACGAGGAGCUUGCUCCUCUGACGUUAGCGGCGGACGGGUGAGUAACACGUGGAUAACCUACCUAUAAGACUGGGAUAACUUCGGGAAACCGGAGCUAAUACCGGAUAAUAUAUUGAACCGCAUGGUUCAAUAGUGAAAGACGGUUUUGCUGUCACUUAUAGAUGGAUCCGCGCCGCAUUAGCUAGUUGGUAAGGUAACGGCUUACCAAGGCAACGAUGCGUAGCCGACCUGAGAGGGUGAUCGGCCACGCUGGAACUGAGACACGGUCCAGACUCCUACGGGAGGCAGAAGGAGGGAAUCUUCCGCAAUGGGCGAAAGCCUGACGGAGCAACGCCGCGUGAGUGAUGAAGGUCUUCGGAUCGUAAAACUCUGUUAUUAGGGAAGAACAAAUGUGUAAGUAACUAUGCACGUCUUGACGGUACCUAAUCAGAAAGCCACGGCUAACUACGUG